This 36-nucleotide non-coding RNA is filed under the name Geotalea daltonii FRC-32. The record is from RNAcentral. Lineage: Bacteria; Pseudomonadati; Thermodesulfobacteriota; Desulfuromonadia; Geobacterales; Geobacteraceae.
AGGUCAGUAUUAGGAGCGGUACGUCCGGCACCGCCG